This 460-nucleotide ribosomal RNA is filed under the name uncultured bacterium. RNAcentral's name for it is "partial 16S ribosomal RNA". It matches the Rfam family "Bacterial small subunit ribosomal RNA", at positions 338 to 795 of the family's 1533-position model. The record is from RNAcentral.
CCUACGGGAGGCAGCAGUGAGGAAUAUUGGUCAAUGGACGAGAGUCUGAACCAGCCAAGUAGCGUGAAGGAUGACUGCCCUAUGGGUUGUAAACUUCUUUUAUAAAGGAAUAAAACGAGGCACGUGUGCCUUUAUGCAUGUACUUUAUGAAUAAGGAUCGGCUAACUCCGUGCCAGCAGCCGCGGUAAUACGGAGGAUCCGAGCGUUAUCCGGAUUUAUUGGGUGUAAAGGGAGCGUAGAUGGGUUGGUAAGUCAGUUGUGAAAGUUUGCGGCUCAACCGUAAAAUUGCAAUUGAUACUGGCAGUCUUGAGUACAGGUGAGGUAGGCGGAAUUCGUGGUGUAGCAGUGAAAUGCUUAGAUAUCACGAAGAACCCCGAUUGCGAAGGCAGCUUACUAAACUGUGACUGACAUUGAUGCUCGAAAGUGUGGGUAUCAAACAGGAUUAGAUACCCUAGUAGUC